Molecule: ribosomal RNA, 812 nt
Filed under: Lichenoconium aeruginosum
Lineage: Eukaryota; Fungi; Ascomycota; Dothideomycetes; Abrothallales; Lichenoconiaceae
Description: mitochondrial SSU rRNA
Rfam family: Bacterial small subunit ribosomal RNA
Source: RNAcentral
CGUACGCACUUGGGGGAUGUAUUUCGACUAUGUCGUAUAAAGUUCUAGAUAGAAUGCUGAUAAUGACAAUUUUCUAUCUAUAUGUCUUGACCAAAUCUUGUGCCAGCAGUCGCGGCAAGACAAGAGAGACUAGUGUUAUUCAUCUUUAUUAGGUUUAAAGGGUACCUAGACUGUAAAUUUAGCCCCUCGCGAAGCAAGGGUACGUAUUUACUAGAGUUAUAUGUGAGAGGAAGAUGGAACUAUUAGUGUAAAGAUGAAAUUUUUUGAUACUAAUAUAACGGGUAACGGCGAAGGCAACCCUCUAUGUAAUAACUGACGUUGAGGGACGAAGGCUCAGGGAGCGAAGAGGAUUAGAUACCCCCGUAGUCUGGGCAGACAAUGAUGAGUGUCAUAGAUUUCUUUAGCAAAGCGCAAAAGCGCAAAGCAGAGGUCUAUAAAUGAAAGUGUAAGCACUCCACCUCAAGAGUAAUGUGGCAACGCAGGAACUGAAAUCAUUAGACCGUUUCUGAAACCAGUAGUGAAGUAUGUUAUUUAAUUCGAUGAUCCUCGAAAAACCUUACCACAAUUUGUAUGUCAAUAUUAUAUUGAUACAAGCGUUGCAUGGCUGUCUUCAGUUAAUGUCGUGAGAUUUGGUUAGGUCCAUUAAAUUAACGUAAACCCUUGCUUUUUUUAUAUUCAUAAAGCAGUUCACCGCGAUAAUUGGAUGUGAUAACAGGGACUAAGACAAGUCAUCAUGGCCUGCUAAGCGACUUAUGAAAUCGCUUGUGUGGGUAAAACUAUCAAACUCCGGGGACGCCCUAAAGCUUCUGGUA